GAGUUUGAUCAUGGCUCAGAUUGAACGCUGGCGGCAGGCCUAACACAUGCAAGUCGAGCGGAUGACGGGAGCUUGCUCCUUGAUUCAGCGGCGGACGGGUGAGUAAUGCCUAGGAAUCUGCCUGGUAGUGGGGGACAACGUUUCGAAAGGAACGCUAAUACCGCAUACGUCCUACGGGAGAAAGCAGGGGACCUUCGGCCUUGCGCUAUCAGAUGAGCCUAGGUCGGAUUAGCUAGUUGGUGGGUAAUGGCUCACCAAGGCGACGGAUCCGUAACUGGUCUGAGAGGAUGAUCAGUCACACUGGAACUGAGACACGGUCCAGAC
This 324-nucleotide ribosomal RNA is filed under the name bacterium enrichment culture clone ALO1_GLFRUDD03G7499. RNAcentral's name for it is "bacterial SSU rRNA". It matches the Rfam family "Bacterial small subunit ribosomal RNA", at positions 9 to 336 of the family's 1533-position model. The record is from RNAcentral.